CCCUUAGACACUCUAGGCGGCACGCGCGCUACAAUGGGUGGAAGACCGUGUUACUGCCUUCGAAAGAAGGGGUGAAUCACGAAUUCUUACCCGUGAAUGGGAUAGUUUGUUGCAAUUUUCGGACUUGAACUAGGAAUCCCUUGUAAGCAUGCCCAAGAAUAGCGUGUUGAAUACGUCCCUGCCGUUUGUACACACCGCCCGUCGUUUCUUCCGACUGAUACUCAUUGUGAGUUGCAAGGACCCUUUAUUGGGAAAUUGCUGCGAAUGCUUUGUAUUGGAGGAAGAAAAAGUCGUAACA
RNAcentral lists this ribosomal RNA (298 nucleotides) under uncultured eukaryote. RNAcentral's name for it is "partial 18S ribosomal RNA". It matches the Rfam family "Eukaryotic small subunit ribosomal RNA", at positions 1470 to 1796 of the family's 1831-position model. The record is from RNAcentral.